Papilio machaon (common yellow swallowtail) is the source of this 71-nucleotide non-coding RNA. Lineage: Eukaryota; Metazoa; Arthropoda; Insecta; Lepidoptera; Papilionidae. The record is from Rfam.
CUCCCUUCCGCCCUUCGUCUCGACUAACGCUGUUUCUAUAAGCAUCAGUCUUGUCGAAUGGUGGGUGGGCG